UACGUAGGGGGCGAGCGUUGUCCGGAAUUAUUGGGCGUAAAGCGCGCGCAGGCGGUUUUUUAAGUCUGGGGUAUAAGCCCGGGGCUCAACCCCGGUUGGCCCUGGAAACUGGGGAACUGGAGUGCAGGAGAGGGAAGCGGAAUUCCACGUGUAGCGGUGAAAUGCGUAGAGAUGUGGAGGAACACCAGUGGCGAAGGCGGCUUUCUGGCCUGUAACUGACGCUGAGGCGCGAAAGCGUGGGGAGCAAACAGG
This 252-nucleotide ribosomal RNA is filed under the name uncultured bacterium. Its description in RNAcentral is "partial 16S ribosomal RNA". It matches the Rfam family "Bacterial small subunit ribosomal RNA", at positions 524 to 776 of the family's 1533-position model. The record is from RNAcentral.